This is a long non-coding RNA of Erinaceus europaeus (western European hedgehog), 461 nucleotides long. RefSeq lists it as uncharacterized. The record is from RefSeq and is a predicted model, not a curated record. NCBI's taxonomy places the organism in Eukaryota, Metazoa, Chordata, Mammalia, Eulipotyphla, Erinaceidae. The transcript is spliced from 3 exons.
CAUUUUCAUCUGUCCACCACUUUCAGCUUAAGUGAACCUGGGACGCAUGUUGUCUCGGAUCCUGCAGUCAUUGGGUAAACCGGUCUCUCAGCCCCAUGUAUGUUAUGAACAGAUUCUUUGGAAUUCCUUAGAUGAGCACACAAAGAAGACAUUCAAACUGAUAACCACUGUAGGGGACCAAGGUGGACUUUGCCAGGACUGGUGAGAUAGCUCAUCUGAGAGGAUGCCUGCUUUGCCAUGUGGGUGAGUCAGGUUUGAGCUCCCAGUACACUACAUAGGAGCACUAUGGCAACGGGGGAAGCUUCAGUGCUGUGCUGUAGCUCCCUCUCCUCUCUCUGCCUGUCUCUCUCCCUCUCCCUCUUUCUGUAUGAAAAAGUCAACCUGGAGCAGUGACACCCCAGUGACCACAAUAGGAACAAACAAAAAGGCUGCUAUCUUUAAGCCCCAAAUCAAACUAUAGC